This 497-nucleotide ribosomal RNA is filed under the name uncultured bacterium. Its description in RNAcentral is "partial 16S ribosomal RNA". It matches the Rfam family "Bacterial small subunit ribosomal RNA", at positions 28 to 507 of the family's 1533-position model. The record is from RNAcentral.
GAUGAACGCUGGCGGCGUGCCUAAUACAUGCAAGUCGAGCGAACAGACGAGGAGCUUGCUCCUCUGACGUUAGCGGCGGACGGGUGAGUAACACGUGGAUAACCUACCUAUAAGACUGGGAUAACUUCGGGAAACCGGAGCUAAUACCGGAUAAUAUAUUGAACCGCAUGGUUCAAUAGUGAAAGACGGUUUUGCUGUCACUUAUAGAUGGAUCCGCGCCGCAUUAGCUAGUUGGUAAGGUAACGGCUUACCAAGGCAACGAUGCGUAGCCGACCUGAGAGGGUGAUAGGCCACACUGGAACGGAGACACGGUCCAGACUCCUACGGGAGGCAGCAGUAGGGAAUCUUCCGCAAUGGGCGAAAGCCUGACGGAGCAACGCCGCGUGAGUGAUGAAGGUCUUCGGAUCGUAAAACUCUGUUAUUAGGGAAGAACAAAUGUGUAAGUAACUAUGCACGUCUUGACGGUACCUAAUCAGAAAGCCACGGCUAACUACGUG